Long non-coding RNA from Bufo bufo (common toad), 451 nucleotides. RefSeq lists it as uncharacterized. The record is from RefSeq and is a predicted model, not a curated record. Lineage: Eukaryota; Metazoa; Chordata; Amphibia; Anura; Bufonidae. The transcript has 3 exons.
GUGCAGAAUUGGUGAUGAGAUUUGUGCAGACUUGUAUGCACUAUAUUUCUGGAAAUCAGUGCCAAGCUCAUGGACUCCACUAAUGUGAACAUCUUUCUAUGACCUUCCAGAAAAUGACGUUUAGUCAGUAUUUCUUAUGAUGUGUGUGGAAACAUAAGGUUGCACAAGAUUACGAUACAUACAAGUGGAACAUAACUAAGAUGUUCCCCAAAUGUGUCAGUAAGAUUAGAAACUCCUUCUGAAGUUCAGACAUUUAUAAUCUAAGAAUGUGGACUGUGAUACAAAGCACACGAUCCUGUAAAAGGAGUAAACACUGUUAAAUCAUCAUCAUGGUUCUCUGCCCACAGCGGAUUUUCUUAGAAGGGCUAGGGCAGACUGGUGCUUCAUUACGAUUCUAUUAACCUUGAUGUAUCUUCAUUGUUCUUCAGUCUUGGGUAUCCUACUUUUGUUA